Molecule: long non-coding RNA, 576 nt
Filed under: Mytilus galloprovincialis (Mediterranean mussel)
Lineage: Eukaryota; Metazoa; Mollusca; Bivalvia; Mytilida; Mytilidae
Source: RNAcentral
CUUGGCCUGCUGGUUAAUCUUUCUUUUUAGGUUUGUUUGUGAGUAUAAGUCAGCCUGUGUCUUUGUCAAAGGUAAUGUCUCUGUGUAUGUCUUAGCUACUGUCUAUGUCACUGUGUGUGUCUCUGUCUGUGUAAAAGGUACUGUCACUGUGUGUGUCUUAGGUACUGUCUGUGUCACUGAGUGUGUCUCUGUCUGUGUCAUAGGUCCUGUCACUGUGUGUGUCUUAUGUACUGUCUGUGUCACUGUGUGUGUCGUAGGUACUGUCUGUGUCACUGUGUGUGUCGUAGGUCUAGGUCACUGUGUGUCUGUACUGGUGUUUUGUGUACUCUGUGUGUGUGUGUCGUAGGUAUGUCUGGGUCACUGUAUGUGUCUUAGGUACUGUCUGUGUGCUGUGUGUCGUAGGUCUGUCUGUGUCACUGUGUGUGUCGUAGGUACUGUCUGGGUCACUGUGUGUGUCUUAGGUACUGUCUGGGUCACUGUGUGUGUCUAAGGUACUGUCUGGGUCACUGUGUGCGUCUUAGGUACUGUCUGUGUCACUGUGUGUGUCUUAGGUACUGUCUGUGUCACUGUGUGUGU